This 2121-nucleotide unclassified non-coding RNA is filed under the name Hevea brasiliensis (rubber tree). The record is from RNAcentral. Lineage: Eukaryota; Viridiplantae; Streptophyta; Magnoliopsida; Malpighiales; Euphorbiaceae.
AAAAAAUUUUCCAUCGUAGCCUAACAUCUCUCUCUAUAUCCAUCUAAAAAAGUUUUCGGCUCUAUUUAUAAACGAAUACCAGAGGCCAGAACGGCUGUACAGGCCUGGAGGAGCUAUGGAAAACGGAUCAAAGAAAUGGGGUUUUCAGGCCGAUAAGGGCCUCAACGCAGCCUCGGCUAUAACAGUUCGUGGAGUUCUCAACGAGUUAAUCGAGAGUCUCAACAAACAAGACCAAAGACCAGUUAUUCCUCUCGGUCACGGCGACCCUUCUGCCUUCCCUUGCUUCCGUACCACUUCUGUUGCCGAAGAUGCCAUUGUCGACGCCUUAAAGUCCGCCAAAUUCAACUGCUAUGCACCGACUGUUGGUAUUCUUACUGCCAGGAGGGCUAUUGCAGAUCACCUUAAUCGUGACCUCCCAUUCAAGUUAUCACCAGAUGAUGUUUUUGUUACACUUGGAUGCACGCAAGCUAUUGAAGUCACAUUAACUGUUCUUGGUCGACCUGGUGCUAACAUUUUGCUUCCAAGACCAGGUUUCCCAUACUAUGAAGCAGUUGCUUCACGAUCUAAUCUUGAGGUUCGCCAUUUUGAUCUUUUGCCAGAAAAAGGCUGGGAGGUUGAUCUUGAAGCUGUUGAGGCUCUGGCAGAUGAGAAUUCUGUUGCCAUGGUUAUAAUAAACCCUGGCAAUCCUUGUGGAAAUGUCUACAGCUACGAACAUUUAAAGGAAGUGGGUAUUUCACUUCUUGUUGAGGUUACAAGUUGGUUAAUAUAACCUUCUGUUAUUAUAUAAUUUCCGCGGUGGUAACUUGUAUUGAUUGCAGAGACAGCUAGAAAGCUUGGAAUUAUGGUGAUUGCUGAUGAAGUAUAUGGGCAUCUUACAUUUGGGAGUACCCCAUAUGUGCCAAUGGGAGUUUUUGGGUCAAUUGUGCCUGUCCUUUCGCUUGGAUCUAUGUCAAAGAGAUGGCUUGUUCCUGGCUGGAGAAUUGGUUGGCUUGUUGCUAUUGAUCCCAAUGGAAUUCUUAAAAGAUCUGGGGUUGUUGAUUCAAUAUGUAGCUGUCUCGACCUCUCCUCAAAUCCUGCAACCUUCAUUCAGGUUUCUGAUUCAUGAUGCUUUUCCUAAAUAAAAUAGUCAUAUUAAAAUAAUUCAAUUAUAUAUAUCUUUCAAUCACUAGUGGAAUUUAUAUUCUUCCUGAAUGUAAUCCCUGGAAUGAGCAAGAGAAUAUUAUCUAUUAAGUGUCACUUCAAAUGCUCUCCUUUAAGUGUCAAGUUCCACAAGGAUUAUUAAAGGAAAUAUUAUAUGUUCCUCCCCUUCUUUGUUCAUGAACAGUAAUUGAGAUAAAUCCUUUUGAAUUUCAGAUUACAUUGCCUUUUGGCUUAGCAUUCAUGUCAGGUUAUCAUGAAAUACAAUAAAUCUUGGCUGUGUAUCAGGGGGCAAUUCCAGAAAUCCUCGAGAACACGAAGAAGGAUUUUUUUUUGAAAAUUAUUAACUUAUUGAGAGAGGCUGUAGACAUAUGCUAUGACAGAAUUCAGGACAAUCCAUACAUUACUUGCACAAAGAAACCAGAAGGUUCUAUGUUUCUGAUGGCAAAACUGAAUUCGUCACUAUUGGAAGGCAUCAAGGAUGAUAUGGACUUCUGUCUCAAGCUGGCUAAAGAGGAAUCCGUCAUAGUUCUACCUGGGAUUGCUGUAGGAAUGAAGAAUUGGAUUCGCAUAAGUUUUGCCAUUGAACCAUCAGCGCUUGAAGAUGGUCUUGGAAGGAUAAAGUCUUUCUGUGAAAGGCAUGCCAAGAAGCAAUAAGGAUUACACCACGACAUGUAGCAGAGUGAUCAGAUCAACAGUAUGGCGUUGAUCCUAAGUCUCAAACUGUAGUCUGUUUAAGCAAUAAAUGUAUUAAAAUAUGAGAAAGUGUGCUUGGAGAUCAACAACUUCGCGUUGGAUCUCAAGGAAAGUCUAAACCCAAGAACUGAAGGGUCAUUGCAUGUCUGUUUGGUUAGCUUGUUAAUUAUUUUCAAUGACAAAAACAAUAUUAGCAAAUUAAACAAAAUUUUCUUUCAGCCCUAUUUGAGCCGGAACUUGAAGGUGAUGCAGAGAAUAAUAUCAUUAUCAUUUCUUUAGGAAGGGACA